RNAcentral lists this ribosomal RNA (270 nucleotides) under uncultured archaeon. Its description in RNAcentral is "partial 16S ribosomal RNA". It matches the Rfam family "Archaeal small subunit ribosomal RNA", at positions 477 to 747 of the family's 1478-position model. The record is from RNAcentral.
CCGCAGCCCGAGUGGUGGUCGUUAUUAUUGGGCCUAAAGCGUCCGUAGCCGGUCCGGUAAAUCUUUGGGUAAAUCGACGUGCUUAACACGUCGAAUUCCGAAGAGACUGCCGGACUUGGGACUGGGAGAGGUCAGAGGUACUCUUGGGGUAGGGGUGAAAUCCUGUAAUCCUAAGAGGACCACCAGUGGCGAAGGCGUCUGACCAGAACGGGUCCGACGGUGAGGGACGAAGCCGUGGGGCGCAAACCGGAUUAGAUACCCGAGUAGUCC